RNAcentral lists this transfer RNA (94 nucleotides) under Streptosporangium pseudovulgare. RNAcentral's name for it is "tRNA-Pro". Lineage: Bacteria; Bacillati; Actinomycetota; Actinomycetes; Streptosporangiales; Streptosporangiaceae. The record is from RNAcentral.
AGCCCACCUCGGGCACGGUGCGGUUCCGCGGCGAGGACCUGUGGUCGCUGCCGGCCCGGCGGCGGCGCGAGGAGUUCGGCACCUCGGUGGCCAU